RNAcentral lists this ribosomal RNA (500 nucleotides) under uncultured bacterium. RNAcentral's name for it is "partial 16S ribosomal RNA". It matches the Rfam family "Bacterial small subunit ribosomal RNA", at positions 30 to 523 of the family's 1533-position model. The record is from RNAcentral.
AUUGAACGCUGGCGGAAUGCUUUACACAUGCAAGUCGAACGGCAGCACGGACUUCGGUCUGGUGGCGAGUGGCGAACGGGUGAGUAAUGUAUCGGAACGUGCCCAGUCGUGGGGGAUAACGUAGUGAAAAUUACGCUAAUACCGCAUACGAUCUAUGGAUGAAAGCGGGGGAUCGCAAGACCUCGCGCGAUUGGAGCGGCCGAUAUCAGAUUAGGUAGUUGGUGGGGUAAAGGCCCACCAAGCCAACGAUCUGUAGCUGGUCUGAGAGGACGACCAGCCACACUGGAACUGGGACACGGUCCAGCCUCCGACGGGAGGCAGCAGUGGGGAAUUUUGGACAAUGGGCGAAAGCCUGAUCCAGCCAUUCCGCGUGCAGGAUGAAGGCCCUCGGGUUGUAAACUGCUUUUGUACAGAACGAAAAGGUUUCUACUAAUACUAGGAGCUCAUGACGGUACUGUAAGAAUAAGCACCGGCUAACUACGUGCCAGCCGCCGCAGUAA